CGUGCCUAAUACAUGCAAGUCGAACGCUGGAGAUCUAGCUUGCUAGAUCGAAGGAGUGGCGAACGGGUGAGUAAUACAUAAGCAACCUACCCACGAAGACUGGGAUAAUCUCUGGAAACGGGGACUAAUACCGGAUAGGUAAUCGGAAGGCAUCUUCUGGUUAUUAAAGGUUAAAAACACUGGUGGAUGGGCUUAUGGCGCAUUAGUUAGUUGGUGAGGUAACGGCCCACCAAGACGAUGAUGCGUAGCCGGCCUGAGAGGGUGAACGGCCACAUUGGGACUGAGACACGGCCCAGACUCCUACGGGAGGCAGCAGUAGGGAAUUUUCGGCAAUGGGGGCAAACCCCUGACCGAGCAAACGCCGCGUGAGUGAAAGACGGGCCCUUUCCGGGGUUGUAAAAGCUUCUGUUGUAA
This 414-nucleotide ribosomal RNA is filed under the name Solobacterium sp. oral taxon A05. RNAcentral describes it as "bacterial SSU rRNA". It matches the Rfam family "Bacterial small subunit ribosomal RNA", at positions 43 to 441 of the family's 1533-position model. Lineage: Bacteria; Bacillati; Bacillota; Erysipelotrichia; Erysipelotrichales; Erysipelotrichaceae. The record is from RNAcentral.